CCUACGGGAGGCAGCAGUGAGGAAUAUUGGUCAAUGGUCGGGAGACUGAACCAGCCAAGCCGCGUGAGGGAUGAAGGUACAGAGUAUCGUAAACCUCUUUUGUCAGGGAACAAAGGCGGGGACGUGUCCCCGGAUGAGUGUACCUGAAGAAAAAGCAUCGGCUAACUCCGUGCCAGCAGCCGCGGUAAUACGGAGGAUGCGAGCGUUAUCCGGAUUUAUUGGGUUAAAAGGGGGGGCAGGCGGUUUGUUAAGUCAGCGGUGAAAGCCCGGGGCUAAACCCCGGGCCGACGUUGAAACUGGCAGUCUCGAGUUGGAGUGAAGUAUGCGGAAUGCGCGGUGUAGCGGUGAAAUGCAUAGAUAUCGCGCAGAACUCCGAUUGCGAAGGCAGCAUGCCGGCUCCACACUGACGCUGAGGCACGAAAGCGUGGGUAUCGAACAGGAUUAGAUACCCUUGUAGUC
Molecule: ribosomal RNA, 459 nt
Filed under: uncultured bacterium
Lineage: Bacteria
Description: partial 16S ribosomal RNA
Rfam family: Bacterial small subunit ribosomal RNA
Source: RNAcentral